AUUAAUAAGCUUUAUAAAGCAUUUGUUUUGAAAACUUAAGAAAGAAUAAUAUACUAUUCUAUUAAUU
RNAcentral lists this transfer RNA (67 nucleotides) under Antheraea yamamai (Japanese oak silkmoth). Its description in RNAcentral is "tRNA-Ser". Lineage: Eukaryota; Metazoa; Arthropoda; Insecta; Lepidoptera; Saturniidae. The record is from RNAcentral.